RNAcentral lists this non-coding RNA (146 nucleotides) under unclassified sequences. Its description in RNAcentral is "IS605-orfB-II RNA". It matches the Rfam family "IS605-orfB-II RNA". The record is from Rfam by way of RNAcentral.
CAUGAUUAGCUUAGCUAGGAUUGUUUAGAGGGUAGUCGCAGUCGCCCCAACUCCGAUUCACAAAGCUAUUUCAUUGGUUUUGUGAGUAGGGUGAGAAACAACAUCUUGUUGGAAACUUUAAUUUUCUUAAGAAGUUAAAGAACUGU